Molecule: long non-coding RNA, 1118 nt
Filed under: Felis catus (domestic cat)
Lineage: Eukaryota; Metazoa; Chordata; Mammalia; Carnivora; Felidae
Description: lncRNA (ENSFCAG00000040458.2)
Source: RNAcentral
AUAUUCACUUUCCAAAAGAAUUCUUGGCUUUACAGAAUGGUUUGCCACAAAGUUUGCUUAACUGUGAGUGCUCGUCUCCAGAACAUUCAAAAUGCAAUCAGCAAUUUAGUACUACAAGCACUAAGUAAGAGGAGAGAGAUGUUCCAGCAGUAAUGACCGAACCGGUGUUACCUGCUUGGGCUCCAGUGGGUAGAGUCCUCUUUGUUCUUAAAAAUCAGUCUUCUGAGGACAGUGGUUAUUUCAGCCACCUCCGGGUGCUGGAUAUACUGCAAAAACACACUGCAGAGAUAUAGGGCUUGAUCCUUCUACAUCACUCAAAAGGCUAUUGUGAUGCACUGUGGGACAGAAAGUUUUGCUAGAUGAUGCCUGUCAGGUCAUGGCCUUAUAAAAAGUAGGGAUCCUUUGGUCUCUAUGAGAGCCAAGCUGCACAAGAAAGAAAGGGUGAAAAUCAGGGUGGAAAAGAACACCAUGUGGGCAAAUAACCCAGACUAUUUAAUCAUCACAACUUUCUUUUCUGUAAAGAGUAUUCCAGGGACAACAUAAGGUUAAAGAGCUGGGUGGUGCGGUAUUGGCAUGUGCUACCCUUUGCAAGCUAGAAUUGAGGAAGUAGGGCACACGAGGGACAAAUGAGCCCAGCUCUGCUUGGUCCAGCACUCAAUUAGGCUCCAUCCUGCUUCUACUGAGACCAUCAGAGGAGGCUUUUAAUUGUUUACAGAUACAGUUCAAACCAAACACGGAGCAUCACAGCAGCACUACUAUGUAAAACAGAGUCGUAACCUCAGAAGAACAGAAUCGCAAAUGUGCCUAUUCGAACCAACCUUUACCAAAAACCAAAACCAAGAUAAACCACGAGUAUUAUCUGCAGGACGCUGGCCUGGGCCCAGGACCACUCCUCAGUUAAAUAGUGUUUGCAAAGAGGAAGUAAGGUUUUUUAAAGCCCCAAGACCAAGAACUGCUUCUGUCUCAUCUUGGAAGAUCAGUGUCUGAGGUUGCUGAUUGGCUGGUGACAUCCUGGUUUGUGGGUCAGGUAAGCACGGAGCUGGCUGGAAGCUGUCAACGUGAGGUACCUGUCUUGGGACCGUGGGCUCCAGCGGCUUUUGCUUGAGCAAGGAUUAUAG